CUUCUCUUCUCAAGACA
This 17-nucleotide transfer RNA is filed under the name Mus musculus castaneus (southeastern Asian house mouse). RNAcentral describes it as "partial tRNA-Thr". The record is from RNAcentral. RNAcentral also lists the same sequence under 1 other name. Lineage: Eukaryota; Metazoa; Chordata; Mammalia; Rodentia; Muridae.